This 688-nucleotide ribosomal RNA is filed under the name uncultured eukaryote. Its description in RNAcentral is "SSU rRNA". It matches the Rfam family "Eukaryotic small subunit ribosomal RNA", at positions 1027 to 1743 of the family's 1831-position model. The record is from RNAcentral.
UGACCGUAACGAUACCAACUAGCGUUCCGCCGCUGGCAAACACGCCUUGGCGGGCAGCUUCCCGGAGACGAAAGUUUUUCGGUUCCGGGGGAAGUAUGGUUGCAAAGCUGAAACUUAAAGAAAUUGACGGAAGGGCACCACCAGGAGUGAAGCCUGCGGCUUAAUUUGACUCAACACGGGAAAACUCACCUGGCCCGGACACCGUGAGGAUUGACAGAUUGAGAGCUCUUUCUUGAUUCGGUGGUUGGUGGUGCAUGGCCGUUCUUAGUUGGUGGAGUGAUUUGUCUGGUUUAUUCCGAUAACGAGCGAGACUCUAGCCUACUAAAUAGUUACUGGAUAAUUGCGUCCAGAAGACUUCUUAGAGGGACAAGCGGUGUUCAGCCGCACGAAGCUGAGCAAUAACAGGUCUGUGAUGCCCUUAGAUGUCCAGGGCUGCACGCGCGCUACACUGGAGGAAUCAGCGCGCUGUAACCAUUGCCGAAAGGCAUUGGUAACCCCUUGAAAAUCCUCCGUGAUCGGGAUCGGGAAUUGCAAUUAUUUCCCUUGAACGAGGAAUUCCUAGUAAGUGUGAGUCAUCAGCUCACGUUGAUUACGUCCCUGCCCUUUGUACACACCGCCCGUCGCUGCCCGGGACUGAGCCGUUUCGAGAAAUGCGGGGACUGCUGUUUCGAUACCUUUCGGGGUGGAG